AUUGAACGCUGGCGGCAGGCUUAACACAUGCAAGUCGAGCGGGGUGAUGGUGCUUGCACUAUCACUUAGCGGCGGACGGGUGAGUAAUGCUUAGGAAUCUGCCUAUUAGUGGGAGACAACAUCUCGAAAGGGAUGCUAAUACCGCAUACGUCCUACGGGAGAAAGCAGGGGAUCACUUGUGACCUUGCGCUAAUAGAUGAGCAUAAGUCGGAUUAGCUAGUUGGUUGGGUAAAGGCCUACCAAGGCGACGAUCUGUAGCGGGUCUGAGAGGAUGAUCCGCCACACUGGGACUGAGACACGGCCCAGACUCCUACGGGAGGCAGCAGUGGGGAAUAUUGGACAAUGGGGGGAACCCUGAUCCAGCCAUGCCGCGUGUGUGAAGAAGGCCUUAUGGUUGUAAAGCACUUUAAGCGAGGAGGAGGCUCUUUUGGUUAAUACCCAAGAUGAGUGGACGUUACUCGCAGAAUAAGCACCGGCUAACUCUGUGCCAGCAGCCGCCGUAA
This 503-nucleotide ribosomal RNA is filed under the name uncultured bacterium. RNAcentral's name for it is "partial 16S ribosomal RNA". It matches the Rfam family "Bacterial small subunit ribosomal RNA", at positions 30 to 523 of the family's 1533-position model. The record is from RNAcentral.